Oncorhynchus keta (chum salmon) is the source of this 989-nucleotide long non-coding RNA. RefSeq lists it as uncharacterized. The record is from RefSeq and is a predicted model, not a curated record. Lineage: Eukaryota; Metazoa; Chordata; Actinopteri; Salmoniformes; Salmonidae. The transcript has 4 exons.
CUCAACCAAUGGGCUGACUCUUUCAAUUAUCACUUCCCUCUCUCAACCAAUGGGCUCACUCUUUCAAUUAUCACUUCCCUCUCUCUCAACCAAUGGGCUCACUCUUUCAAUUAUCACUUCCCUCAUCCCUUGUCAUCAACAUCUCUUCAGAGACGAGGCCGUACCCCAAACUCUUUCAUCACAUUAUAUAUUAUAUAUAGGUACCCCAAACUAUUUCAUCACAUUAUAUAUUAUAUAUAGGUACCCCAAACUAUUUCAUCACAUUAUAUAUUAUAUAUAGGUACCCCAAACUAUUUCAUCACAUUAUAUAUUAUAUAUAGGUACCCCAAACUAUUUCAUCACAUUAUAUAUUAUAUAUAGGUACCCCAAACUAUUUCAUCACAUUAUAUAUUAUAUAUAGGUACCCCAAACUAUUUCAUCACAUUAUAUAUUAUAUAUAGGUACCCCAAACUAUUUCAUCACAUUAUAUAUUAUAUAUAGGUACCCCAAACUAUUUCAUCACAUUAUAUAUUAUAUAUAGGUACCCCAAACUAUUUCAUCACAUUAUAUAUUAUAUAUAGGUACCCCAAACUAUUUCAUCACAUUAUAUAUUAUAUAUAGGUACCCCAAACUAUUUCAUCACAUUAUAUAUUAUAUAUAGGUACCCCAAACUAUUUCACCACAUUAUAUAUUAUAUAUAGGUACCCCAAACUAUUUCAUCACAUUAUAUAUUAUAUAUAGGUACCCCAAACUAUUUCAUCACAUUAUAUAUUAUAUAUAGGUACCCCAAACUAUUUCACCACAUUAUAUAUUAUAUAUAGGUACCCCAAACUAUUUCACCACAUUAUAUAUUAUAUAUAGGUACCCCAAACUAUUUCAUCACAUUAUAUAUUGCAUUCAGAUAUAUUUAUUCAGUUAAGCCUGUACCCAAAUGAAAUGCCUUACAGUCUAUGGACGGGUAACACAUAGUACCUUUGUGUGUGUGUGUGUGUGUGUGUGUGUGUGUGUGU